UACACUCCUACGGGAGGCAGCAGUGGGGAAUUUUGGACAAUGGGCGAAAGCCUGAUCCAGCAAUGCCGCGUGAGUGAAGAAGGCCUUCGGGUUGUAAAGCUCUUUUGUCAGGGAAGAAACGGUGAAAGCUAAUAUCUUUUGCUAAUGACGGUACCUGAAGAAUAAGCACCGGCUAACUACGUGCCAGCAGCCGCGGUAAUACGUAGGGUGCAAGCGUUAAUCGGAAUUACUGGGCGUAAAGCGUGCGCAGGCGGUUUUGUAAGUCUGAUGUGAAAUCCCCGGGCUCAACCUGGGAAUUGCAUUGGAGACUGCAAGGCUAGAAUCUGGCAGAGGGGGGUAGAAUUCCACGUGUAGCAGUGAAAUGCGUAGAUAUGUGGAGGAACACCGAUGGCGAAGGCAGCCCCCUGGGUCAAGAUUGACGCUCAUGCACGAAAGCGUGGGGAGCAAACAGGAUUAGAUACCCCAGUAGUCCCAUGAU
RNAcentral lists this ribosomal RNA (478 nucleotides) under uncultured organism. Its description in RNAcentral is "partial 16S ribosomal RNA". It matches the Rfam family "Bacterial small subunit ribosomal RNA", at positions 332 to 801 of the family's 1533-position model. The record is from RNAcentral.